Molecule: long non-coding RNA, 621 nt
Organism: Toxotes jaculatrix (banded archerfish)
Lineage: Eukaryota; Metazoa; Chordata; Actinopteri; Toxotidae
Exons: 3
Source: RefSeq, a predicted model, not a curated record
CUUAAUGUAGCCCCACUGACUCCCUCAGUCACUAUAUUACUUUUUGUGUGUGGUUUAUGCGUGUGUGUGCCGUCCAUGCCAAGGGGCAGACAGGCCGGCUGUUCAUGGCGACACACUGUGAAAGCUGAAGCCUCCUCCGCCUUCUCCUCCUCCUGUGGGCCUUCGCUAGAAUGUUCCAGGAGCUUAGAGAGAGGCUCUGCAGGGCCAAGCUGGCACCUCGACGCCUGCAGAGAUGACCAAACCUCCAAGGGGUCCGCUGGAGAUUUCACAGCUGGGGGACUGCAUGGCUGUGCCAACUCCCUCUCUUCACCCCCUUCACUCCUCCACACACACAGAUCAGUAGCAUCAUUAUUGAACUGGAGCUUAUCUUGUACCCGUUGCCCUGGUUGUGGAGUCAGACCCAGACAGCCAUUGCGAUGUGUGAUCUCUCACUGGGACACGUCAUGUGACCAGAGGCUGCCCCUGAGAGCUGUCUCCUCAUCCUGUAUGUUCCUCACAGUCGUGUUUGGAACAUACAGUACAUGCUAAAGGGCCGUCCUCUGUAGCUUUUGUGCUUGUGAUUGUUUGUUACUCACUCCCCAGUUAAUGUGCAACUGGAGAAACAUAAAAGCAGUCAGAGGA